GCAGGAGCAUCCACCGCUGCAGCAGUUUGCACAGCUGAGAAGUCCGAGAUUCAAGAGGGGAGGAGGUGGGAGAGGCUGGAGGAUGGUGGGGUGGCAGUGACAGCUCCGGGCCCGCCCGGGCUGGGCGGCGCAGGUGCGCUGGGGGCGCGGGGCACCCGAGCCCGGGCGCAGGUGCGCGGGGGCGCGGGGCGCGGGGCGCACGGGCGGGCAAAUAGCUGACAGCAUCGUCACGGCGGCGCGAGGCAGCUCGCGCCCCGCCUACCUGCGGGAGGAGCCCGUAUCCGCACAGCCUGCGCUGCCCGGUCCUAUUCGAGGCGAGCUCAGAAGCAGCUCUGGGAAGAGUUGUGUUCAUCCUCAGAGAAGAUGGGAAAGGUGCCGCAUCCCAUCUUUAGUUGUAAGAUUGUGGUUCCCAUAAGAUGACAAUGACUGCUGACAGCUCCCAGGCUCGCCUGCAAAGCGUUGUUGGCUACUCGCCAGGUGGGAACCUGCCUGUCUUCUGUCCUGAAAAAUGCUGGUUUUCCCCUUUAAAACUCUAGUUCACGUUCUAUGGGGGUCUGGGAGACUUAAACUACAAGCUCUGUGAAUCGUGUUAUGUCCAUUGAAUGCUUAUCUACAUGGCUGUGGUGGAAUUCAGUUUCUUCCCACUGUGCAGUGACACAACGUGCCUUCCUUAGGAAUUUAUUCUACAUAUUUGCCCACAUUAUUUUUUGAAUGACCCCCUUCCAUGUGAGAAGCUAGUCCUAGCAUAGGGGACCUUUUCUGUUUGGAACUGAAAACUUGAGGAAAAAUUUCUUUUUAAGGAAGAUUUUCUAGGUAACAGUAAAAGGUUGGAGCAUUUUACAUUCCAAAUCAGCCCAAAUGUUAUUCUUUCCCAGUGACAUUUGGAUUCGAGGAGGUGGAGUGGGAGGGAGAGAAAAGGGGAGGAUAAAAUUAGAAUAAAUUUAACAAAUUUGUGAGGGAAUAAUACUUUUUUUUUUUGGUCGUUGCCUGAAAUUGCAAAUUGUCAACAAUUCUAUCUUUGGAAAUGCAGGAGAUCCUAUGGGCCGAGAUGCAGGAAAAUCCAUAGUUCAUUUGACAGAAACAGAAGACACAAAACAAGGAAGCAUUUUCAUCCCAUUUAACACAUGGCGUUUAAUUUGGUAACAGGGACUCCAGUGCCCAGUGAACUC
Molecule: long non-coding RNA, 1169 nt
Filed under: Cervus hanglu yarkandensis (Yarkand deer)
Lineage: Eukaryota; Metazoa; Chordata; Mammalia; Artiodactyla; Cervidae
Description: lncRNA (ENSCHYG00000010480.1)
Source: RNAcentral